AUGAACGCUGGCGGCGUGCUUAACACAUGCAAGUCGAGCGGAAAUAUUUUAAAUGAAGGCUUCGGUUGGAAUUUAUAAUAUUUUAGCGGCGGACGGGUGAGUAACGUGUGGGUAACCUGCCAUAUACUGGGGAAUAAUCAUUUGAAAAGAUGACUAAUACCGCAUGUCGUCACCGAGGGGCAUCCCUUGGUGAAAAAAGGAGUAAUCCGGUAUAUGAUGGACCCGCAUCUGAUUAGCUAGUUGGUGAGAUAAUAGCUCACCAAGGCGACGAUCAGUAGCCGACCUGAGAGGGUGAUCGGCCACAUUGGGACUGAGACACGGCCCAAACUCCUACGGGAGGCAGCAGUGGGGAAUAUUGCACAAUGGGCGAAAGCCUGAUGCAGCAACGCCGCGUGAAGGAAGAAGGGUUUCGGCUCGUAAACUUCUAUCAAUGGGGAAGAAACAAAUGACGGUACCCAAAUAAGAAGCCCCGGCUAACUACGUGCCAGCAGCCGCGGUAAUACGUAGGGGGCAAGCGUUAUCCGGAAUUACUGGGUGUAAAGGGAGCGUAGGCGGCAUGGUAAGCCAGAUGUGAAAGCCCGAAGCUUAAUUCGAGGAUUGCAUUUGGAACUAUCAAGCUAGAGUACAGGAGAGGUAAGUGGAAUUCCUAGUGUAGCGGUGAAAUGCGUAGAUAUUAGGAAGAACACCAGUGGCGAAGGCGACUUACUGGACUGAAACUGACGCUGAGGCUCGAAAGCGUGGGGAGCGAACAGGAUUAGAUACCCUGGUAGUCCACGCCGUAAACGAUGAGUGCUAGGUGUCGGAGGGGAACCUUCGGUGCCGCAGCUAACGCAAUAAGCACUCCACCUGGGGGAGUACGAUCGCAAGAUUG
Molecule: ribosomal RNA, 871 nt
Filed under: uncultured anaerobic bacterium
Lineage: Bacteria
Description: bacterial SSU rRNA
Rfam family: Bacterial small subunit ribosomal RNA
Source: RNAcentral